CACCAAGAAGCUUCUACAGCACUAGCCUUUUAAGCUAGAGAGGGAAACUAAAAUAUUCCCUUGGUGA
This 67-nucleotide transfer RNA is filed under the name Plestiodon latiscutatus. Its description in RNAcentral is "tRNA-Lys". Lineage: Eukaryota; Metazoa; Chordata; Lepidosauria; Squamata; Scincidae. The record is from RNAcentral. RNAcentral also lists the same sequence under 1 other name.